CGCUGGCGGUAGGCCUGACACAUGCAAGUCGAACGGCAGCACAGUAAGAGCUUGCUCUUACGGGUGGCGAGUGGCGGACGGGUGAGGAAUACAUCGGAAUCUACUUUUUCGUGGGGGAUAACGUAGGGAAACUUACGCUAAUACCGCAUACGACCUACGGGUGAAAGCAGGGGAUCUUCGGACCUUGCGCGAUUGAAUGAGCCGAUGUCGGAUUAGCUAGUUGGCGGGGUAAAGGCCCACCAAGGCGACGAUCCGUAGCUGGUCUGAGAGGAUGAUCAGCCACACUGGAACUGAGACACGGUCCAGACUCCUACGGGAGGCAGCAGUGGGGAAUAUUGGACAAUGGGCGCAAGCCUGAUCCAGCCAUACCGCGUGGGUGAAGAAGGCCUUCGGGUUGUAAAGCCCUUUUGUUGGGAAAGAAAAGCAGCAGGUUAAUACCCCGCUGUUCUGACGGUACCCAAAGAAUAAGCACCGGCUAACUUCGUG
Molecule: ribosomal RNA, 486 nt
Filed under: uncultured bacterium
Lineage: Bacteria
Description: partial 16S ribosomal RNA
Rfam family: Bacterial small subunit ribosomal RNA
Source: RNAcentral